Molecule: long non-coding RNA, 490 nt
Organism: Conger conger (European conger)
Lineage: Eukaryota; Metazoa; Chordata; Actinopteri; Anguilliformes; Congridae
Exons: 3
Source: RefSeq, a predicted model, not a curated record
CUAGCUUCCUCCGCCUGGCUUCCUCUGCUUGCUGGGACGUGUGGCAGCCAGAGCACGUUUCUGUCGGGGGCGCCUUUUGGUCGAAGCCGGGGCUCGCCGUUUGGAGUCGCGCCCGUCUGGCUUCCUGUGGCUGGAGGGGGGGGGUCAUCGAAGGCCCUGCUGCGGUUGGCUGACAGCGUGGACAGAGGCCGGAUUCGCCAUCGCGCACUGAACGCCGACUUACCACAGACAUGAUCAUCAGGCUGGGCAGACUCACUCCUGGGUACUUCAGGCUUCUCCAGAGGCAGGUGGCGGGCGAGGUCCAAACACAGCCGCAGGACCGCAUGGUCAACCAGCUCGCCAUGAUGCUGGCCAUCAUGGGCCUCAGCCUGUCCUAUUACAGCGCCCGGCAGAUGACGGAGAAGGUGCAGAACGCCCCCGCCCCCUGAGGAGGCCACGCCCACCCGCCAGCCAGAGGAGAAGGCUGUGUGAAAUCACUGAGAGGGAGGGA